GACGAACGCUGGCGGCGUGCCUAAUACAUGCAAGUCGAACGAAGCUUUUUUAACUGGUGCUUGCACCGACUUAAACAACUGAGUGGCGAACGGGUGAGUAACACGUGGGUAACCUGCCCCAAAGCGGGGGAUAACAUUUGGAAACAGAUGCUAAUACCGCAUAACCACAGAAACCACAUGGUUUCUGUGUCAAAGAUGGUUUCGGCUAUCACUUUGGGAUGGACCCGCGGCGUAUUAGCUAGUUGGUAAGGUAAUGGCUUACCAAGGCAAUGAUACGUAGCCGAACUGAGAGGUUGAUCGGCCACAUUGGGACUGAGAAACGGCCCAAACUCCUACGGGAGGCAGCAGUAGGGAAUCUUCCACAAUGGACGAAAGUCUGAUGGAGCAACGCCGCGUGAGUGAAGAAGGUUUUCGGAUCGUAAACUCUGUUGUCAGAGAAGAACGUGUGCGAGAGUAACUGUUCGUGCAGUGACGGUAUCUGGCCAGAAAGCCACGGCUAACUACGUGCCAGCCGCCGCGGUAA
Molecule: ribosomal RNA, 523 nt
Filed under: uncultured bacterium
Lineage: Bacteria
Description: partial 16S ribosomal RNA
Rfam family: Bacterial small subunit ribosomal RNA
Source: RNAcentral